CCUACGUGAGGCAGCAGUAGGGAAUCUUCCACAAUGGGCGAAAGCCUGAUGGAGCAACGCCGCGUGGGUGAAGAAGGUCUUCGGAUCGUAAAACCCUGUUGUUAGAGAAGAAAGUGCGUGAGAGUAACUGUUCACGUUUCGACGGUAUCUAACCAGAAAGCCACGGCUAACUACGUGCCAGCAGCCGCGGUAAUACGUAGGUGGCAAGCGUUAUCCGGAUUUAUUGGGCGUAAAGGGAACGCAGGCGGUCUUUUAAGUCUGAUGUGAAAGCCUUCGGCUUAACCGGAGUAGUGCAUUGGAAACUGGGUGACUUGAGUGCAGAAGAGGAGAGUGGAACUCCAUGUGUAGCGGUGAAAUGCGUAGAUAUAUGGAAGAACACCAGUGGCGAAAGCGGCUCUCUGGUCUGUAACUGACGCUGAGGUUCGAAAGCGUGGGUAGCAAACAGGAUUAGAUACCCUGGUAGUC
RNAcentral lists this ribosomal RNA (465 nucleotides) under uncultured bacterium. Its description in RNAcentral is "partial 16S ribosomal RNA". It matches the Rfam family "Bacterial small subunit ribosomal RNA", at positions 338 to 795 of the family's 1533-position model. The record is from RNAcentral.